This 468-nucleotide ribosomal RNA is filed under the name uncultured bacterium. RNAcentral's name for it is "partial 16S ribosomal RNA". It matches the Rfam family "Bacterial small subunit ribosomal RNA", at positions 28 to 507 of the family's 1533-position model. The record is from RNAcentral.
GGCGAACGCUGGCGGCGUGCUUAACACAUGCAAGUCGAACGGUGAAGCUCCGGCUUGCUGGAGUGGAUCAGUGGCGAACGGGUGAGUAACACGUGAGCAACCUGCCCCUGACUCUGGAAUAAGCGCUGGAAACGGCGUCUAAUACUGGAUACGAGAAGGGUCCGCAUGGGCACUUUCUGGAAAGUUUUUCGGUUGGGGAUGGGCUCGCGGCCUAUCAGCUUGUUGGUGAGGUAAUGGCUCACCAAGGCGACGACGGGUAGCCGGCCUGAGAGGGCGACCGGCCACACUGGGACUGAGACACGGCCCAGACUCCUACGGGAGGCAGCAGUGGGGAAUAUUGCACAAUGGGCGAAAGCCUGAUGCAGCGACGCCGCGUGAGGGAUGACGGCCUUCGGGUUGUAAACCUCUUUCAGCAGGGAAGAAGCGAAAGUGACGGUACCUGCAGAAGAAGCACCGGCUAACUACGUG